CACAUCCUCUGUUUUCAUCUUAUUUCUAAAAUAUUAAUAAUAAUAGCUAUAUAGCUAUUAUACACCUCUUUAGAUCUCUGAUUAUAGCUUAUACCAUUUUCCCAAUUUGGGUUUUUUUUCUUUUGGAAUAAAUGUUCAAUCUUUACAAAUGAUGCAUUUGAUUGUUUUUUGAUUGAUGGUAGAAGGAUCCAUGUUCUUGGAUUGAAUCCAACACUUUCCACUUGCUGUUUGAUCAGUAUUCCCACCUGGAAUCUGCCUGAUUUGCUAGAUAAGAAAUGAUGGAGUCAGAUCUUGGUAAGCUAUUCGUAGGUGGGAUUUCUUGGGACACGGAUGAGGAUCGUCUUAAAGAAUAUUUCAGUUCAUAUGGAGAAGUGGUGGAAGCUGUGAUCAUGAGGGAUCGUAAUACUGGCCGUGCUCGUGGUUUUGGUUUUGUUGUCUUUGCUGAUCCUGUUGUUGCUGAAAGAGUAGUUAAGGAGAAGCAUAUGAUUGAUGGACGAACGGUUGAGGCAAAGAAGGCUGUUCCUAGGGAUGAUCAACAAAUAAUAAAUAGAAACAAUAGCAGCAUUCAAGGAUCUCCAGGUGGCGGACGCACAAAAA
This 597-nucleotide unclassified non-coding RNA is filed under the name Hevea brasiliensis (rubber tree). The record is from RNAcentral. Lineage: Eukaryota; Viridiplantae; Streptophyta; Magnoliopsida; Malpighiales; Euphorbiaceae.